Long non-coding RNA from Epinephelus moara (kelp grouper), 1316 nucleotides. RefSeq lists it as uncharacterized. Lineage: Eukaryota; Metazoa; Chordata; Actinopteri; Perciformes; Serranidae. The record is from RefSeq and is a predicted model, not a curated record. The transcript has 3 exons.
CAGAUUGAAAAUGUGUUGAAAAAUCAGGUGUCUUUCAUGUAUCAUGUAUUUUUGGCAUUGUGUCACUUAUAUGAUAAAAACAUUUCAUAAUAUGAGUAUUGGCUUUUAUUUAUUUAGGUAUUUUCAAUUUUAUUCAUAUUUUGAAUACCACAUUAUGAAUGUUUCUUCUGUAAAGAUAUGAUGAAACCUGCUUUGGUGUGUCUACAGGAGAAGGGACAUUCAAGAGCAACUGGUGAACCAGUGGCUGAAUGAGGACUUUGAGUGGUCCAGAUCCAACAGUGACAUUGACAAUACAGGAGAUUUCAACAACCUUGCUUACGCACAUGAAGAAGCAGCCGUCCACGGAGAGGAACUAGAAGGUUACAGACAACCUGCACCUGUCGAUAUUCUCACUGGACAUUUGGAUACUGAUGACAGACAGUUGAGCUCAUCUGCAAAUAUUCAUGGGCUGGACACAGAGUACCACCUGCCAGUUACACCACGCCAACACAAUACUCUGACUACUAAUACUCUCUCAUUUUCUACUGUUGGGCAUCCACAGUCUGACAGCCUGUCUCCCCCUCUGAGAGACCUCAGCCGGAUAAGCAGGCCCCAGAUUAGGAUAUCCUGGGACCCCUAAACUGUGCAAUGAAAGCUGAGCCUUGACUCUGCAUCACUAUGGAUAAAGUCUCAGCUCUUCUGUCAAACCUGUUUUUGGUGCUUUCUCUUUAUGAUAUAAUUUAAUUUAUUUAUACCAGCUGCUUUUAGGUGUCAACAGCACUGUUUGAUUUAUUUAUUUAUUUGUUUGUUUUGUAAAAUGGCAGCAGGGUAAGUGUUCGUGAUCAAAAUGCACUACAUACAGUAUAUUUAUGAUUUUGUGAUUAUAUAGUGAAAAUACUUUCUCUUUUUACGUAAAGGAAGGACUUGAAUUUCAAAUGCUCUCCAUGCUGCUGUCCUGAUACAGUGACAAAUUGUUGUUUUAAUGUAUGAUAAUGACUGUUCAGUAACUAUUGACUGAUUGUAGUAACAGGGAGAGUAGUACUGUGCAUGUUGACAUGUCUUGACAGAACCACAGUGGAUUAAAGGAUGUAGGAGUAAAUGGAACUACAGUAUCACAAAAUCAGAACGGGAGAGUUGGUAAUAAUUCACUGUUGGUUCGUCGCUACAAGCAACUCCUUUCACACUACACAGUUAUUUGGCCAAUUGUUGGUAUAAAAACAUUUGAUUUUGACACUGGGUCACUUUAUAAAAUGACUGACUGCCAGAACAAUGCACUACUGAACUAGGAAUUAGUUUUAUUUAUAUAAUUUUGCAAUAUCAAUAUUGUUUGAGCUUUA